GGAGAGGGCUAGCGUUAUUCGGAAUUAUUGGGCGUAAAGGGCGCGUAGGCGGAUUAGUAAGUUAAAAGUGAAAUCCCAAGGCUCAACCUUGGAAUUGCUUUUAAAACUGCUAAUCUAGAGAUUGAAAGAGGAUAGAGGAAUUCCUAGUGUAGAGGUGAAAUUCGUAAAUAUUAGGAGGAACACCAGUGGCGAGGGCGUCUAUCUGGUUCAAAUCUGACGCUGAGGCGCGAAGGCGUGGGGAGCAAACAGGAUUAGAUACCCUGGUAGUCCACGCUGUAAACGAUGAAUGUUAAAUAUGGGGAGUUUACUUUCUGUAUUACAGCUAACGCGUUAAACAUUCCGCCUGGGGACUACGGUCGCAAGAUUAAAACUCAAAGGAAUUGACGGGGACCCGCACAAGCGGUGGAGCAUGUGGUUUAAUUCGAUGCAACGCGAAAAACCUUACCACUCCUUGACAUGGAAAUUAUACCUAUUCGAAGGGAUAGGGUCGGUUCGGCCGGGUUUCACACAGGUGU
Molecule: ribosomal RNA, 515 nt
Filed under: bacterium symbiont of Megymenum gracilicorne
Lineage: Bacteria
Description: bacterial SSU rRNA
Rfam family: Bacterial small subunit ribosomal RNA
Source: RNAcentral